CGCGGUAUUUUGACUGUGCGAAGGUAGCAUAAUCAUUUGUCUUUUAAUUGAAGACUUGUAUGAAUGGUUGAACGAGAAAAUAACUGUCUCUUUAAAAAAUCUUGAAUUUUACUUUUAAGUGAAAAGGCUUAAAUAAUUUUAAGGGACGAUAAGACCCUAUAAAUCUUUAUAUUAUUUUUCUUUAAAUUUCAAAUUAUAUAUUAAAAGAAAAAAAAGAAAAAAAUAUUGUAUUGGGGAGAUAAAAAUAUAACUUUUUUAACUGUUUUAAACAUAAAACAAUAAUUUUUGAUUAAUUAAAAUUGAUCCUUUUUAAAGAUUUUAAGAUUAAGUUACUUUAGGGAUAACAGCGUAAUUUUUUUUGAGAGUCCUUAUCGAAAAAAAAGUUUGCGACCUCGAUGUUGAAUUAAAAUAUCCUUAUAAGUGCAGAAGCUAUAAAGGAAAGUCUGUUCGACUUUUAAAAUUUUACAU
RNAcentral lists this ribosomal RNA (468 nucleotides) under Aegla inermis. RNAcentral describes it as "partial 16S large subunit ribosomal RNA". It matches the Rfam family "Bacterial large subunit ribosomal RNA", at positions 1932 to 2601 of the family's 2925-position model. Lineage: Eukaryota; Metazoa; Arthropoda; Malacostraca; Decapoda; Aeglidae. The record is from RNAcentral.